CCUACGGGAGGCAGCAGUGAGGAAUAUUGGUCAAUGGACGAGAGUCUGAACCAGCCAAGUAGCGUGAAGGAUGACUGCCCUAUGGGUUGUAAACUUCUUUUAUAUGGGAAUAAAACGUUCCACGUGUGGGAUUUUGUAUGUACCAUAUGAAUAAGGAUCGGCUAACUCCGUGCCAGCAGCCGCGGUAAUACGGAGGAUCCGAGCGUUAUCCGGAUUUAUUGGGUUUAAAGGGAGCGUAGGUGGAUUGUUAAGUCAGUUGUGAAAGUUUGCGGCUCAACCGUAAAAUUGCAGUUGAAACUGGCAGUCUUGAGUACAGUAGAGGUGGGCGGAAUUCGUGGUGUAGCGGUGAAAUGCUUAGAUAUCACGAAGAACUCCGAGUGCGAAGGCAGCUCACUGGACUGCAACUGACACUGAGGCUCGAAAGUGUGGGGAUCAAACAGGAUUAGAUACCCCAGUAGUC
This 460-nucleotide ribosomal RNA is filed under the name uncultured bacterium. RNAcentral describes it as "partial 16S ribosomal RNA". It matches the Rfam family "Bacterial small subunit ribosomal RNA", at positions 338 to 795 of the family's 1533-position model. The record is from RNAcentral.